CCUACGGGUGGCAGCAGUGGGGAAUAUUGCACAAUGGGCGAAAGCCUGAUGCAGCAACGCCGCGUGAAGGAAGAAGGGUUUCGGCUCGUAAACUUCUAUCAACAGGGACGAAAGAAAUGACGGUACCUGAAUAAGAAGCCCCGGCUAACUACGUGCCAGCAGCCGCGGUAAUACGUAGGGGGCAAGCGUUAUCCGGAAUUACUGGGUGUAAAGGGUGAGUAGGCGGCAUGGUAAGCCAGAUGUGAAAGCCUUGGGCUUAACCCGAGGAUUGCAUUUGGAACUAUCAAGCUAGAGUACAGGAGAGGAAAGCGGAAUUCCUAGUGUAGCGGUGAAAUGCAGAGAUAUCACGAGGAACCCCGAUUGCGAAGGCAGCCUGCCGGGGUGCGACUGACGCUGAGGCUCGAAGGUGCGGGUAUCAAACAGGAUUAGAUACCCUUGUAGUC
This 443-nucleotide ribosomal RNA is filed under the name uncultured bacterium. RNAcentral's name for it is "partial 16S ribosomal RNA". It matches the Rfam family "Bacterial small subunit ribosomal RNA", at positions 338 to 795 of the family's 1533-position model. The record is from RNAcentral.